UACGGGGGGAGCAAGCGUUGUCCGGAGUUACUGGGCGUAAAGGGCACGCAGGCGGUCGUACGCGUUUCGGGUGACAGCGGGUGGCUUAACUGCCCGAGUGUUCGAAAGACGGUACGACUUGAGGGCUCGAGAGGGACACGGAAUUCCGGGUGGAGUGGUGAAAUGCGUAGAGAUCCGGAGGAACACCGAAGGCGAAGGCAGUGUCCUGGCGAGUGACUGACGCUGAGGUGCGAAAGCUAGGGGAGCGAACGGG
Molecule: ribosomal RNA, 253 nt
Filed under: uncultured bacterium
Lineage: Bacteria
Description: partial 16S ribosomal RNA
Rfam family: Bacterial small subunit ribosomal RNA
Source: RNAcentral